AACGAACGCUGGCGGCAGGCUUAACACAUGCAAGUCGAACGCCCCGCAAGGGGAGUGGCGGACGGGUGGGUAACGCGUGGGAACAUACACUUUUCUACGGAAUAGCCCUGGGAAACUGGAAUUAAUACCGUAUACGCCCUACGGGGGAAAGAUUUAUCGGGGAAGGAUUGGCCCGCGUUGGAUUAGCUAGGUGGUGGGGUAAAGGCAUACCAAGGCGACGAUCCAUAGCUGGUCUGAGAGGAUGAUAAGCCACAUUGGAACUGAGACACGGCCCAAACUCCGACGCAAGGCAGCAGUGGGGAAUAUUGGACAAGGGGCGCAAGUCUGAUCCAGCCAUGCCGCGUGAGUGAUGAAGGCCGUAGGGUUGUAAAGCUCUCUCACCGAUGAAGAUAAUGACGGUAGUCGGAGAAGAAGCCCCGGCUAACUUCGUG
This 431-nucleotide ribosomal RNA is filed under the name uncultured bacterium. RNAcentral's name for it is "partial 16S ribosomal RNA". It matches the Rfam family "Bacterial small subunit ribosomal RNA", at positions 29 to 507 of the family's 1533-position model. The record is from RNAcentral.